This 379-nucleotide ribosomal RNA is filed under the name uncultured cyanobacterium. Its description in RNAcentral is "bacterial SSU rRNA". It matches the Rfam family "Bacterial small subunit ribosomal RNA", at positions 376 to 770 of the family's 1533-position model. The record is from RNAcentral. Lineage: Bacteria; Bacillati; Cyanobacteriota.
CGAAAGCCUGACGGAGCAACGCCGCGUGUGGGAAGAAGGCCUUUGGGCUGUCAACCACUUUUCUCAGGGAAGAAGUUCUGACGGUACCUGAGGAAUCAGCCUCGGCUAACUCCGUGCCAGCAGCCGCGGUAAUACGGAGGAGGCAAGCGUUAUUCGGAAUUAUUGGGCGUAAAGCGUCCGCAGGGGGCGCAUCAAGUCUGCUGUCAAAGGUCGGAGCUUAACUCCGGUUAGGCAGUGGAAACUGGUGCGCUAGAGGGCGGCAGGGGUAGAGGGAAGUCCCGGUGUAGCGGUGAAAUGCGUAGAGAUUGGGAAGAACAUCGGUGGCGAAAGCGCUCUACUGGGCCGCAACUGACACUCAGGGACGAAAGCUAGGGGAGCG